UCCACAAGGGUUAGGCCACCGGCUUCAGGUGUUACCGACUUUCAUGACUUGACGGGCGGUGUGUACAAGACCCGGGAACGUAUUCACCGCAGCGUUGCUGAUCUGCGAUUACUAGCGACUCCGACUUCAUGAGGUCGAGUUGCAGACCUCAAUCCGAACUGGGACCGGCUUUUUGGGAUUCGCUCCACCUCACGGUAUUGCAGCCCUUUGUACCGGCCAUUGUAGCAUGCGUGAAGCCCAAGACAUAAGGGGCAUGAUGAUUUGACGUCAUCCCCACCUUCCUCCGAGUUGACCCCGGCAGUAUCCCAUGAGUUCCCACCAUUACGUGCUGGCAACAUAGAACGAGGGUUGCGCUCGUUGCGGGACUUAACCCAACAUCUCACGACACGAGCUGACGACAACCAUGCACCACCUGUUUACGAGUGUCCAAAGAGUUGACCAUUUCUGGCCCGUUCUCGUAUAUGUCAAGCCUUGGUAAGGUUCUUCGCGUUGCAUCGAAUUAAUCCGCAUGCUCCGCCGCUUGUGCGGGUCCCCGUCAAUUCCUUUGAGUUUUAGCCUUGCGGCCGUACUCCCCAGGCGGGGAACUUAAUGCGUUAGCUGCGUCACGGAAUCCGUGGAAUGGACCCCACAACUAGUUCCCAACGUUUACGGGGGUGGACUACCAGGGUAUCUAAGCCUGUUUGCUCCCCACCCUUUCGCUCCUCAGCGUCAGUUACGGCCCAGAGAUCUGCCUUCGCCAUCGGUGUUCCUCCUGAUAUCUGCGCAUUCCACCGCUACACCAGGAAUUCCAAUCUCCCCUACCGCACUCUAGUCUGCCCGUACCCACUGCAGGCCCGAGGUUGAGCCUCGGGAUUUCACAGCAGACGCGACAAACCGCCUACGAGCUCUUUACGCCCAAUAAUUCCGGAUAACGCUUGCGCCCUACGUAUUACCGCGGCUGCUGGCACGUAGUUAGCCGGCGCUUUUUCUGCAGGUACCGUCACUUUCGCUUCUUCCCUGCUAAAAGAGGUUUACAACCCGAAGGCCGUCAUCCCUCACGCGGCGUUGCUGCAUCAGGCUUCCGCCCAUUGUGCAAUAUUCCCCACUGCUGCCUCCCGUA
Molecule: ribosomal RNA, 1099 nt
Filed under: Actinomycetes bacterium
Lineage: Bacteria; Bacillati; Actinomycetota; Actinomycetes
Description: Actinobacteria bacterium partial 16S ribosomal RNA
Source: RNAcentral